GACGAACGCUGGCGGCGUGCUUAACACAUGCAAGUCGAACGGAAAGGCCCUGCUUUUGUGGGGUGCUCGAGUGGCGAACGGGUGAGUAACACGUGAGUAACCUGCCCUUGACUUUGGGAUAACUUCAGGAAACUGGGGCUAAUACCGGAUAGGAGCUCCUGCUGCAUGGUGGGGGUUGGAAAGUUUCGGCGGUUGGGGAUGGACUCGCGGCUUAUCAGCUUGUUGGUGGGGUAGUGGCUUACCAAGGCUUUGACGGGUAGCCGGCCUGAGAGGGUGACCGGCCACAUUGGGACUGAGAUACGGCCCAGACUCCUACGGGAGGCAGCAGUGGGGAAUAUUGCACAAUGGGCGGAAGCCUGAUGCAGCAACGCCGCGUGCGGGAUGACGGCCUUCGGGUUGUAAACCGCUUUCGCCUGUGACGAAGCGUGAGUGACGGUAAUGGGUAAAGAAGCACCGGCUAACUACGUGCCAGCAGCCGCGGUGAUACGUAGGGUGCGAGCGUUGUCCGGAUUUAUUGGGCGUAAAGGGCUCGUAGGUGGUUGAUCGCGUCGGAAGUGUAAUCUUGGGGCUUAACCCUGAGCGUGCUUUCUAUACGGGUUGACUUGAGGAAGGUAGGGGGAGAAUGGAAUUCCUGGUGGAGCGGUGGAAUGCCCACAUAUCAGGAGGAACACCAGUGGCGAAGGCGGUUCUCUGGGCCUUUCCUGACGCUGAGGAGCGAAAGCGUGGGGAGCGAACAGGCUUAGAUACCCUGGUAGUCCACGCUGUAAACGGUGGGUACUAGGUGUGGGGUCCAUUCCACGGGUUCCGCGCCGUAGCUAACGCUUUAAGUACCCCGCCUGGGGAGUACGGCCGCAAGGCUAAAACUCAAAGGAAUUGACGGGGCCCCGCACAAGCGGCGGAGCAUGCGGAUUAAUUCGAUGCAACGCGUAGAACCUUACCUGGGUUUGACAUGGAUCGGGAGUGCUCAGAGAUGGGUGUGCCUCUUUUGGGGUCGGUUCACAGGUGGUGCAUGGCUGUCGUCAGCUCGUGUCGUGAGAUGUUGGGUUAAGUCCCGCAACGAGCGCAACCCUUGUUCACUGUUGCCAGCACGUUAUGGUGGGGACUCAGUGGAGACCGCCGGGGUCAACUCGGAGGAAGGUGGGGAUGACGUCAAGUCAUCAUGCCCCUUAUGUCCAGGGCUUCACGCAUGCUACAAUGGCUGGUACAGAGAGUGGCGAGCCUGUGAGGGUGAGCGAAUCUCGGAAAGCCGGUCUCAGUUCGGAUUGGGGUCUGCAACUCGACCUCAUGAAGUCGGAGUCGCUAGUAAUCGCAGAUCAGCAACGCUGCGGUGAAUACGUUCCCGGGGCU
Molecule: ribosomal RNA, 1347 nt
Filed under: uncultured bacterium
Lineage: Bacteria
Description: partial 16S ribosomal RNA
Rfam family: Bacterial small subunit ribosomal RNA
Source: RNAcentral